CAGUCGCCGCGGGAAUACGAAGGGUGCAAGCGUUACUCGGAAUUACUGGGCGUAAAGCGUGCGUAGGCGGCUUUUUAAGUCGGAUGUGAAAUCCCUGAGCUUAACUUAGGAAUUGCAUUCGAUACUGGGAAGCUAGAGUAUGGGAGAGGAUGGUAGAAUUCCAGGUGUAGCGGUUAAAUGCGUAGAGAUCUGGAGGAAUACCGAUGGCGAAGGCAGCCAUCUGGCCUAAUACUGACGCUGAGGUACGAAAGCAUGGGGAGCAAACAGGAUUAGAUACCCCUGUAGUCCCUGUCUCUUAUAA
Molecule: ribosomal RNA, 301 nt
Filed under: uncultured bacterium
Lineage: Bacteria
Description: partial 16S ribosomal RNA
Rfam family: Bacterial small subunit ribosomal RNA
Source: RNAcentral